AGAGUUUGAUUAUGGCUCAGAACGAACGCUGGCGGCGCGUUUUAAGCAUGCAAGUCGAGCGGCAAGGGCCUUCGGGCCCCUAGAGCGGCGGACGGGUGAGUAACACGUGGACAAUCUGCCCCCCGGCCGGGGAUAGCCCAGGGAAACCUGGAUUAAUACCGGAUGAGACGGGACCCGCGGAGGCGGGAUCCGGGAAAGGCGCUGCGGCGCCGCCGGGGGAUGAGUCUGCGUCCCAUUAGCUUGACGGCGGGGUAACGGCCCACCGUGGCGACGAUGGGUAGCCGGCCUGAGAGGGUGGACGGCCACAUUGGAACUGAGACACGGUCCAGACUCCUACGGGAGGCAGCAGCUAAGAAUCUUCCGCAAUGGGCGAAAGCCUGACGGAGCGACGCCGCGUGAACGAAGAAGGCCGUGAGGUUGUAAAGUUCUUUUCGGGAGGGGGAACAACCGUGGCAGGGAAUGGCCGCGGGAUGACGUGAAUCCCGGAAUAAGCCCCGGCUAACUACGUGCCAGCAGCCGCGGUAACACGUAGGGGGCGAGCGUUGUUCGGAAUCAUUGGGCGUAAAGGGCGUGCAGGCGGUCCUGCAAGUCCGGCGUGAAAGACCCCGGCCCAACCGGGGGGGCGCGCUGGAAACUGCAGGGCUUGAGUACAGGAGGGGAUGCCGGAAUUCCAGGUGUAGGGGUGAAAUCUGUAGAUAUCUGGAGGAACACCAAUGGCGAAGGCAGGCAUCUGGCCAUGUACUGACGCUGAGACGCGAAGGUGCGGGGAGCAAACAGGAUUAGAUACCCUGGUAGUC
Molecule: ribosomal RNA, 797 nt
Filed under: uncultured Sphaerochaeta sp.
Lineage: Bacteria; Pseudomonadati; Spirochaetota; Spirochaetia; Spirochaetales; Sphaerochaetaceae
Description: bacterial SSU rRNA
Rfam family: Bacterial small subunit ribosomal RNA
Source: RNAcentral